Molecule: long non-coding RNA, 1407 nt
Filed under: Mustela putorius furo (domestic ferret)
Lineage: Eukaryota; Metazoa; Chordata; Mammalia; Carnivora; Mustelidae
Description: lncRNA (ENSMPUG00000024701.1)
Source: RNAcentral
ACCAAGCGCUUGAACUUCACAUACUGUACCUUAUUUAGCCCUGUCUACAACUCUAUAAAGCAAGUUUGUUGCUUCCAUUUGCAGCUGUAUCUUCAGUGCCCAGAAGAGUGCUUGGCAAGUCUCAACACACUUCCUGAAAGAGUGAAGAAUAUUGUUAAUUCUUCCUUCAUUGGCUCAGUGGUCUUGGGCAAGUGUUUUAUAUUCUCUGAGCUUCUGCCUUUCCUUUUAGAUAAGGAGGAAAGAGGGAUAAUCUCUUACAGGAUCAUGGUGGGAAUUAAUGAGAUGAGCAGGGGAAGGGACUCUUGUGAGGCCUCGCUCAUGGAAAGCUCUGGAUAGAUAUUGGUUUCUUUUCACCUCCAGAGGCCAAACUAGCCCUCUGACUUUUUUUUUUUUAAAAGAUUUUAUUUAUUUAUUUGACACAGAGAGAGAGAUCACAAGUAGGCAGGGAGGCAGGCAGAGAGAGAUAGGGGGGAAGCAGGCUCCCUGCCAAGCAGAGAGCGGAUGCGGGGCUCGAUCCCAGGACCCUGAGAUCAUGACCCAAGCCGCAGGCAGAGACUUAACCCACUGAGCCACCCAUGCACCCCACCCCUCUGACUUAAUGCAAUUCUCAAGCAAGUCUAAAUGGAAAGACUAGAGCGACUGCACAGUUUUAAAUACAUUCUCUAACUCUUGUGUUCCUUUCCUGGCAUGCAGAAUCAGACCGAUGUUCCUCUUGAAAAUGUUUUCCCUGCUAUAGUUGGAAAACUCUUAAAUGGAGCCCGCUCUGUAACUUAGAGUGGGAGUAGAGCAGAGUACCGCCACUGGCCAAGCCUUUCAAACAGCGUAACAAAUGAUGUGUGCGUGCGACUGGGGAAAAUGCACACAUUCUCCCUGGGUCUGGCGAACUCAUGUUUGGCCCCCAGGUGCACUUGACCUGUUAACAACAUUUAGACAGAUUUAUCAGCUGUAAACUUUGCACCAUGCAAAAAAAAAAAAAAAAAAAUGCAGACAGAUUUGCCAGCAACAGAGCAAAUCAAACAAAUUAAGUAAAAGGGUUGAUUCCCUCUGCCCCUCAGUGGCCUGAUUGAGGCACAUGGGCUCCAGGCGUCAAAUUCACAGAAAACUGGGGAGUUCCUGGGGGACAGUGUGGGUAUGUGGUGAGAACUUCAGUUAGGGCUGACAAACUCUAGUUUUAAGAGCCUGAGCUGAGUACUAAAGGGAAAGUGCGUCCUUAAUUAACACCAUAAGAAAGAGGGGAAAAAAAAAAAAAGAAAGAAGGCACAUACCAAAAAUUAAAAAGAAAAGAAAAAAAAAGGCAUAUAAAACUUCCCAGAACUUUGUGUGGUUCUCUAUGUAUUUUAUGAGAUCAUCUGCUUGGAAAUGUGUUGUUUGAAAAACUAGAUGGAAUUAGUUUUAAAAAGACCCAGA